This 672-nucleotide ribosomal RNA is filed under the name Clostridioides difficile. RNAcentral describes it as "bacterial LSU rRNA". It matches the Rfam family "Bacterial large subunit ribosomal RNA", at positions 644 to 1323 of the family's 2925-position model. Lineage: Bacteria; Bacillati; Bacillota; Clostridia; Peptostreptococcales; Peptostreptococcaceae. The record is from RNAcentral.
GGUUAAGCACUUAAGGUGUGGAGCCGUAGCGAAAGCGAGUUUUAACUGAGCGUUCAGUUACUUGACGUAGACCCGAAACCGGGCGACCUACCCAUGAGCAGGCUGAAGCGAAAGUAAAAUUUCGUGGAGGUCCGAACCCACGAGCGUUGAAAAGCUCGGGGAUGACUUGUGGGUAGCGGUGAAAUUCCAAUCGAGCCCGGAGAUAGCUGGUUCUCCCCGAAAUAGCUUUAGGGCUAGCCUCAAGGUGAGAGAUACGGAGGUAGAGCACUGAAUGUCCUAGGGGGUAUUGCACCUACCGAAGACUAUCAAACUCCGAAUGCCGUCAUCUUAUACUUGGGAGUCAGACUGUGGGUGAUAAGAUUCAUAGUCGAAAGGGCAACAGCCCAGAUCGUCAGCUAAGGUCCCUAAAUGUAAGUUAAGUGGUAAAGGAUGUGGGAUUGCACAGACAACCAGGAUGUUGGCUUAGAAGCAGCCACUCAUUCAAAGAGUGCGUAAUAGCUCACUGGUCGAGUGAUCCUGCGCCGAAGAUUUCCGGGGCUAAAACUUACUACCGAAGCUACGGCAUCAGUAAUGAUGGGUAGGGGAGCUUCCCAUACGGGUUGAAGCAUGACCGUAAGGACAUGUGGACAGUAUGGGAGUGAGAAUGUUGGCAUGAGUAGCGAGAUGUGGGUG